Molecule: long non-coding RNA, 2765 nt
Filed under: Homo sapiens (human)
Lineage: Eukaryota; Metazoa; Chordata; Mammalia; Primates; Hominidae
Description: PREDICTED lncRNA (TCONS_00150649)
Source: RNAcentral
GUACACGGAGGCAGCAUGGGGAAAGGCAUUGAAGGGCGGGACCCCGGAGCCGACUUGCUGCAGAUCCAAAAAGGCGGAGCUAGAUAAAGAGGAAGGGGUGGAGCUAGAACUGGACACCUCGGGGGUUUCCUGCUUUAUGGCGAAGGGCCAGGGCCCCACACCUUCCGCCUGACAGCCAGCCAAGCUCUUCAGUCCCCCGCCCUCCACCUGCCAGGGAGGCUCCGGGCGUUGUACCUGCCACCACGGGGUAGGUCUGACGGAGUUUUGCUCUUGUUGCCCAAGCUGGAGUGCAAUGGUGCGAUCUUCGCUUACUGCAACCUCUGCUUCCUGGGUUCAAGUGAUUCCCCUGCCUCAGCCUCCCGAGUAGCAGGGAUUACAGUCUUCAAAUAAGUGUUUACGUAGAAGCACCAUAUCUGAAACAGGUGACAGUGGACCAGUCUGAAUGAAAUGAGGGUUGGCAGGCCUGAGCUCCAAAACCUUCUGAUUGCCCAAGCCCUCCUUGUCUUGCUUGGAUUAUCUCCACACAAAUGGAGAAACUGGACAAGGUGGUCAUGGAGGUCCCUGAAAGCUCAAAGACUUUCUCAUUCCAGGAUUCCCCAUGUUCAUAUGCCAGCAUGGCAUGGGGGUGCUCUGUAGUCAAGCAGGGUCCUUUGGGGGGCUUAGGGAUGGAGCCAGGAAAUGGCUCUGGGACUCAGCGGGUGUCCAGAGUCUCAUCAGCAGGGUUUCUUUACUUUCACUGAGUGGCUGGUGCCUGCACACUGAGUUUUGCAGGCUUACUCUCACAGAGUGAGCUUCCUGCAGGCCCCCCACUGCAACCCCUUUCCUUCCUGGAGCUGUGUGCUGACUGGUGCGUGAGCACCCCAGGCCCUCUCCCCAUGCUGCUGAUGGUCAGCUUUCUCUGCACGCUCGUGGUUGCCACAGUCAACGCUGAUAAAAUUGCUGAUGCAGAUUGCCUGCCCAGCUGCGAGUGCUGGCACGGGACCAGCAGCCCAGACGGUCACUGGAAGUGGUUGGGCUGAUUAUUGGCAUCAUCUCCAUUGUCCUACUCGGUUCUUAAAGGCAUAUGGACUUGCCUCACUCCUACAGCAAAUGACGGCAUGGGCAAAGAGGGGCAACAGACCCACCCUGAAGACACUCCUCAUCUGGUUGACUUGGCAGGGUUAAGGGAAAAAGAUGUGAUGACUAGGAGCUGAGAGCUUAGUGGUUCUGCCAGAGCUGCAGAGUCUUUGUUGGCCUCAGGGUGGGACCUCUCACAUCUCUGUCAGCUUUUCACGGACACCAACCUGUUAUGAUUCAUUUCACCUGUCCUGAGCACUAGCAAGAAAAAUUCGCUGUAGCUUGUGAUGUAUUAUUCUGGAUUUCUCAACUCAUUCAUUUGUUCAUUCAUUCACUAUACCAUUACUGUCUAUUAUAAGGGGGGCACAAUGGUAGGUGCUGGGAAUAAAAACGAUGUUUAACGUUUCAUGAGGCUUCCCUGUCCUUAAGGAGUCCGCGUGUCUUUGUACCUGUCUGUCUGCUAGAUUAUUAAGUGACACUGUGAGAAGCUACUGAGAGCAGCAUGUGGGACAUGCAGAAGGGCAAGAGGCAGGAGAGAUGAUUCAUGUCGGAGGGGCAGGGGAGGACUGACGGAGAGGGUGAUGUUUGGCUGAGUCAUGAAGGCUAGUGGUAUUUUUCCAUGCAGAGAAGUGGGAGGAAAGGCAUUCUGUGUGGAGGGCACACAGUGUGCAAGGGCAGAGAGGUGUGAGCGAGGGUGGUGAGCUCGGGGCCAUGAGUAAUGCAAGAGCAUGGGGUGUGCAGGAUGAGUGGCCAAAGGUGGGGCUAGGAAAUAGUGGCUGAGGUCAUUAUGUGAAGGCUUUGUGCUACUGCUUCAGAGUUGUGGAACGUGAUGUUGCAAUCUGGGAAAGACGCUGAUGGCAAGGGAUAGCAUCAUCAGGUUGUGCUGCCAUCCCUGAAAGGCCCAGGCUCAAAGGUUUUGGGUGAAGGAAGCCAGGAGGGUUAGAAAGGGAGGAAGAUGCCAGGGCAUCUGGUAAAAUAAAGCAUGUGUCAGGCUUGGAGUUGCAUAAGGCAGGUGCCCUGAGCCCAUUGAUGCAACUUCCAGCUGCUUUGAUGGAGCACAGGCUCAUUUGGAGAAUAGACCUUCUCUGGCCCUUGCCCACCCUGUUCACCUCCCAGGGCCCAGCUUCUCACCUGCUCGCCUUUGGUGUGGCUGGGGGAGGCAUAGGCCUCUGGGUAGUGCUGCCGCUCAAAUGGGCACUCGAGCGGCUCGAGGUGGUGCUGGCUGAAGGCAUCCGUGCGAAGGUGCUUUCGGGGUCCGCUGCUGCUGCUCUGUGAGUCAAUGCUUAGUCGGCAGCUAUCCUGAUCACCUGGUACCCCCCGGGAAGGAAGAAAGCUUUUAGGGGACCUAUCUAUUCAUGCUCUAGGCCAAAGUAGAGGACUGACUCCAAGCUGACUCACUGUGGAGGGAGAAAAAGGGCCAGCCACGUGGGCCCAGGAGCCUUGGCCAACUGAGGGACAGGACAUGUGACAGUCACAUGCAGAGCCCCUACAAAGUCCCAUAUCAUAAGUGGAAGGGUUUCUGUCCCCAUCAAAGCCUGAGCAAACUGCUCUCGUGCACCGCCCGCUGCCCUCCUGUCCCAGCACUCACUGUCAUCCAUUUUCCUCUUGUCGCUGCCAGGCUGAGCGAUGCCCAGGAGCCCAUUGAUGGAGUAGGUGGAGCCCAGGGAAUCCGACUGGGGUGACUCCGGGGGAGUUACAGCUGAGCUGGG